GACGAACGCUGGCGGCGUGCUUAACACAUGCAAGUCGAACGGAAAAGCCCUGCUUUUGUGUGGUGCUAGCGUCGCGCACGGGUGUGUAACCCGUGAGUAACCUUCCCUUGACUUUGGGAUAACUUCAGGCAACUGGUGAUAAUACCGGAUACGAGCUCCUGCUGCAUGGUGGGGGUUGGAACGUUUAGGCGGGUUGGGAUGGACUUCCGGCUAAUCAGCUUGUUGGUGGGGUAGCGGCUUACCAAGGCUUUGACAGCUAGUCGGCCUGGGAGGUUGACCAGCCACAAUGGGACUGAGGGACGGCGCAGACGGCUACGGGGGGCAGCAGGGGGGAAUAUGGUACAAUGGGCGGAAGCCUGAGGCAGCAACGCCGCGUGCGGGAUGACGGCCUUGUGGGUGUAAACCGCUGUCGCCUGUGACGAAGCGUGAGUGACGUUAAUGGGUAAAGAAGCACCGGCUAACUACGUG
RNAcentral lists this ribosomal RNA (468 nucleotides) under uncultured bacterium. Its description in RNAcentral is "partial 16S ribosomal RNA". It matches the Rfam family "Bacterial small subunit ribosomal RNA", at positions 28 to 507 of the family's 1533-position model. The record is from RNAcentral.